CCUACGGGUGGCAGCAGUGGGGAAUCUUGCACAAUGGGGGGAACCCUGAUGCAGCGACGCCGCGUGGGUGAAGGAGCGUUUCGGCGCGUAAAGCCCUAUCGGCAGGGAAGAAAAUGACGGUACCUGACCAAGAAGCCCCGGCUAACUCGGUGCCAGCAGCCGCGGUAAUACGUAGGGGGCAAGCGUUAUCCGGAUUUACUGGGUGUACAGGGGGCGCAGACGGCAGUGCAAGCCAGGAGUGACAGCCCGGGGCGCAACCCCGGGACUGCUCUUGAAACUGCAUGGCUGGAGUUCAGGAGGGGCAGGCGGAAUUCCUAGUGUAGCGGUGAAAGGCGUAGAUAUUAGGAGGAACACCGGUGGCGAAGGCGGCUUGCUGGACUGUGACUGACGUUGAGGCCCGAAGGCGUGGGGAGCAAACAGGAUUAGAUACCCCUGUAGUC
Molecule: ribosomal RNA, 440 nt
Filed under: uncultured bacterium
Lineage: Bacteria
Description: partial 16S ribosomal RNA
Rfam family: Bacterial small subunit ribosomal RNA
Source: RNAcentral